GAUGAACGCUAGCGGCAGGCCUAAUACAUGCAAGUCGAGGGGUAGAGUUAGCUUGCUAACUUGAGACCGGCGCACGGGUGCGUAACGCGUAUGCAACCUACCUUUAUCUGGGGGAUAGCCCGAAGAAAUUCGGAUUAACACCGCAUAAAAUCACAGUAUCGCAUGAUACAAUGAUCAAAUAUUUAUAGGAUAAAGAUGGGCAUGCGUGUCAUUAGUUAGUUGGCGGGGUAACGGCCCACCAAGACCACGAUGACUAGGGGAUCUGAGAGGAUGACCCCCCACACUGGUACUGAGACACGGACCAGACUCCUACGGGAGCAGCAGUAAGGAAUAUUGGUCAAUGGAGGCAACUCUGAACCAGCCAUGCCGCGUGCAGGAAGACGGCCCUCUGGGUUGUAAACUGCUUUUAUUCGGGAAUAAACCUAUCUACGUGUAGAUAGCUGAAUGUACCGAAGGAAUAAGGAUCGGCUAACUCCGUGCCAGCAGCCGCGGUAAU
RNAcentral lists this ribosomal RNA (496 nucleotides) under uncultured bacterium. RNAcentral's name for it is "bacterial SSU rRNA". It matches the Rfam family "Bacterial small subunit ribosomal RNA", at positions 28 to 524 of the family's 1533-position model. The record is from RNAcentral.